RNAcentral lists this ribosomal RNA (1440 nucleotides) under Klebsiella pneumoniae. Its description in RNAcentral is "bacterial LSU rRNA". It matches the Rfam family "Bacterial large subunit ribosomal RNA", at positions 1509 to 2925 of the family's 2925-position model. Lineage: Bacteria; Pseudomonadati; Pseudomonadota; Gammaproteobacteria; Enterobacterales; Enterobacteriaceae. The record is from RNAcentral.
GGUUUAAGCAUGUAGGCUGGUUGUCCAGGCAAAUCCGGAUAAUCAAGGCUGAGGUGUGAUGACGAGGCACUACGGUGCUGAAGUAACAAAUGCCCUGCUUCCAGGAAAAGCCUCUAAGCAUCAGGUAACAUCAAAUCGUACCCCAAACCGACACAGGUGGUCAGGUAGAGAAUACCAAGGCGCUUGAGAGAACUCGGGUGAAGGAACUAGGCAAAAUGGUGCCGUAACUUCGGGAGAAGGCACGCUGGUGUGUAGGUGAAGCCCCUGCGGGCGGAGCUGAGACCAGUCGAAGAUACCAGCUGGCUGCAACUGUUUAUUAAAAACACAGCACUGUGCAAACACGAAAGUGGACGUAUACGGUGUGACGCCUGCCCGGUGCCGGAAGGUUAAUUGAUGGGGUUAUCCGUAAGGAGAAGCUCUUGAUCGAAGCCCCGGUAAACGGCGGCCGUAACUAUAACGGUCCUAAGGUAGCGAAAUUCCUUGUCGGGUAAGUUCCGACCUGCACGAAUGGCGUAAUGAUGGCCAGGCUGUCUCCACCCGAGACUCAGUGAAAUUGAACUCGCUGUGAAGAUGCAGUGUACCCGCGGCAAGACGGAAAGACCCCGUGAACCUUUACUAUAGCUUGACACUGAACAUUGAGCCUUGAUGUGUAGGAUAGGUGGGAGGCUUUGAAGCGUGGACGCCAGUCUGCGUGGAGCCAACCUUGAAAUACCACCCUUUAAUGUUUGAUGUUCUAACGUUGGCCCCUUACCGGGGUUGCGGACAGUGUCUGGUGGGUAGUUUGACUGGGGCGGUCUCCUCCCAAAGCGUAACGGAGGAGCACGAAGGUUAGCUAAUCCUGGUCGGACAUCAGGAGGUUAGUGCAAUGGCAUAAGCUAGCUUGACUGCGAGCGUGACGGCGCGAGCAGGUGCGAAAGCAGGUCAUAGUGAUCCGGUGGUUCUGAAUGGAAGGGCCAUCGCUCAACGGAUAAAAGGUACUCCGGGGAUAACAGGCUGAUACCGCCCAAGAGUUCAUAUCGACGGCGGUGUUUGGCACCUCGAUGUCGGCUCAUCACAUCCUGGGGCUGAAGUAGGUCCCAAGGGUAUGGCUGUUCGCCAUUUAAAGUGGUACGCGAGCUGGGUUUAGAACGUCGUGAGACAGUUCGGUCCCUAUCUGCCGUGGGCGCUGGAGAAUUGAGGGGGGCUGCUCCUAGUACGAGAGGACCGGAGUGGACGCAUCACUGGUGUUCGGGUUGUCAUGCCAAUGGCACUGCCCGGUAGCUAAAUGCGGAAGAGAUAAGUGCUGAAAGCAUCUAAGCACGAAACUUGCCCCGAGAUGAGUUCUCCCUGAGACUUUAAGUCUCCUGAAGGAACGUUAAAGACGAUGACGUUGAUAGGCCGGGUGUGUAAGCGCAGCGAUGCGUUGAGCUAACCGGUACUAAUGAACCGUGAGGCUUAACC